RNAcentral lists this unclassified non-coding RNA (213 nucleotides) under Hevea brasiliensis (rubber tree). The record is from RNAcentral. Lineage: Eukaryota; Viridiplantae; Streptophyta; Magnoliopsida; Malpighiales; Euphorbiaceae.
GACCUAUUCUGGAGUGCAAUUACUUCUUAACAGUUGGAUUGACAACUGCAGGUGAAGGAAAGAAUGAUACUUUGAGUAAAUUAAAGGAGGUUCCUGUUUGUUUCCAAUCUGUUGAUGAAUAUGUUGAAAUUUUUCGUCCACUUAUAUUGGAAGAAUUUAAAGCACAAUUGCAGAGUUCCUUUCAGGAGAUAACUUCUCUAGAAGAGAUGUCUU